This 1470-nucleotide long non-coding RNA is filed under the name Strigops habroptila (Kakapo). Its description in RNAcentral is "lncRNA (ENSSHBG00005007442.1)". Lineage: Eukaryota; Metazoa; Chordata; Aves; Psittaciformes; Psittacidae. The record is from RNAcentral.
ACAAAACAUGAUUUGAGCACAAGCUGAAACACAUUUAUGAGAAAAUCAGAGAUUUUCUCAUACAUCAAUGCAGAAAAUCAGCUGUGAUGGUUAGAUGUGGAAGAAGUUCUGGACAAGGUUAAAAAUAAAAAGCAAAUACCAUAAAGCUGCAUAUUUAAAUACCAUAGCAGAGAACACAAUAUUAGGAGUAAGUGUACGCAUUAAUCUGGAAAUAAUAGGGAAGUUACAUUAUAUGUUAAAGAAAGUUACAAUGGCACAGGCAUGGGCAGAUGAAGUAGGCAGGAAACCUGUCAAACAGCCACUGGAGGUUUGUUUCCUGUUUCACAGCGCAGUCAGAGGUGAUCAGCUGUGUUUAGUGGUGUUGCACGAUAGAGUGGAUGAAUAUAAUCACCUGCCUCAUGGACAAGUUUAAUGUACAAUAAACUUUUAAUGUUGUUUCAGGGGUUCAUAAACAGCAUGGCUGAACACAGGGAAUUCAAGAACCUUAUGGCCAACUCAUUUAGAGGUAGCCCUUGAUGUACUGCUUCCCAAAGCAGUAUUUCAUAUAUUUAUCACUUUUUUUAACCUUAAAUGGCCCCAAAAUCCAAAACCAGUUCUAUGGAUAAUGCAUCUUCAUUAGGAGCCACUUCUGAGGCUGAAAAGCACAGGCACAGCAGCUAACACAGCAGGUGAGGAAAAUGUACUUUUGGUCCAGGAACCCAGAUAACUUAUGUAUGAUGCUGUGGGAUAUUAAAUAUUCAGGAAAACUGCCAUUAUCUUUGUUUCAUCCUCCAAUUGUUGGUAUCUCUAAUUUUCAUAACUUAUUUUGGGGGCUUUUGUUUUCCCGUGGGUUGGAAAAGACCUUAACUGUGUUUUGUUACAAUAGGAAAGACCUCUGUACCUAGAGGAUCCUUAUCAUUCAUGAGGAAACACAAAACUUCAGUUUCACAGACAAACUUAUCUUCACAUACACAGUUAGAGCCUUUGUUAAUGCAUCCUCAAUAGGAAGAAUAACAUCUGGCACCUUCCUUAAACAGACCCUCACAGAAUAACGUAUGUGAGAUGUAAGGUUACAGCAUCCUGCCCCUCUGCAGGCUCCAGUACCUUACACCUCCGGGGACAGGUCCAGCAGCACCUGCAGGUCAGCCCCCAAGCUACCCGCAUUGUGGUGCGGUUUCAGUUCCAACCCGGUGUCUUCACAUAGUAGUUUUGCACUCUAAAUAAAGCAGGACGUACUUUCUUGUGUGAGAGGAACUCCUGUGCACCACCGUUUUGCUCUGCUCUUCACCACCGCCACCUUUGCCCCCCGUGAAGGGAGGAGGGCGCACAGUGCAGGCUACCCCACCACCAGCUCCUUCCCCACGGCCACCUCUCCCCCGGCCAGACACUCCUCAAGCCCCAAGGGAUAGUGCUUUGCCCUCCUCCAUAGCUCCCUGGGCAGGGGCCUCAGCGCCGGCCCCUUCUCCACCUCAGUGCCCUCGGCCGGGAGGC